Non-coding RNA from Paramuricea clavata, 1222 nucleotides. Lineage: Eukaryota; Metazoa; Cnidaria; Anthozoa; Malacalcyonacea; Plexauridae. The record is from the annotation of a GenBank genome assembly.
CAUAUGCAUAUGAAUUUUUCCUUAAAUUCAUUCUUUUUGUAAUAUCAUGGAAUCUCAGUUUAUGAAUCGUACCAGACAUUAAAACCUGUUUCUACCGGGAUAACAACCUCGUACCCAGGGCCUUUGCGCGGUUCAGAGGCUCUGGUACGGGAAGCAAAGGCCCUGGUAAACACUGGUCACGUGUGUCCAGAAAUAUUGGACAUUUCGUAAUAAUUUAGUUUUGAAUCCGAGGGGAGCGGAGCCGAUUGAUUUUGUCAAACAUGGCAGCGCGAAGGCGCGACGUUUUCGAGUUUUAUUAUUUUACAAUAAAUAAAACUUUCCUAGUGAGAUUUAAAGUGAGUAUAUAUUAAAACUAUGCAUUCUACGAGCUUUCUUUCAACAAAUUGUGGAAUAGCGAACAGUAAUACUUAUCAAAGAUCGAGGAUCGAACUGAGAGAAAACUGGUCGAGUGAUCUGUCUUAUUAAAUAAACUGUCUAUGUUGUAUCCAUACAACUGCUUGUGUACGACGUUUUAUAAAAAAUUAAAUAAACAUUGUUGUUUAAUAAUGAUUAUAAGUAAUUUUCACGUACAUGUAUUGACCAAAGAAUAUCACUUGGGAUUUUAUUGUACUUUCAUGGAAGGAUACAUACUCAGUUUUGUGCCUGUAUAGUGAAAGGGACAUCUAUGGAAACGAAUUCGAAAUUUUUCAUGUUCACUCAUGUAGUUAUCAAAGCAGAAUAUUUUGACAGUAACAGGUUGGUUUCCGUAUGUAUGUAGUUUAAAAUACAGUUGUGAAUGAAAUUAUACACAGUAUCUUGAAACCUUUGUGUGUGAGUUAAUUUCAUAUUUAUUUUUUGGGAUGUUUCUCAUUGUCUGGAAGAAGGGGGUAUAAAUGGCUGGGGGAGUACCAAUCAUGAGAAAUAAUAUCCAGUGAUCUUGAAAUAUGAAAAAUAAUAGAAGGAAGUCCUGAAGGACAUGUAUAAAGUAACAAAAUUAUUAGGAAUCUGACAUAUAAAUGUAAGCAAAAACCAGACUUAGCAGUCUAAAGGCAAAUAACAGUCUGUACUGGGUGUGCAUUCACCUGUUUGUUUACAUUUGUAGUUACUAAUAUUAGUUCAUGAUUUAUGAAAUUUGAUAACUUUAGUCAUGGCAACAAGUCAUUAAUAAUUUUAGGGUUUACUAAAUAUUGUUCUGAAAUACUUCAUUUGUCAGUUGUGUCUUAUACUGUAGUAUAUAAUAAAU